CCAGCAGGGGUGUAUUUAGCUCAAGGCAAACUAGGCAUUUGCCUUGGGCGGCACUAUUUAUGGGGCAGCAAAGAAUGCCACCCCCAAACGCCCUCUGAGGCGUCCCGUGUGAUUCUCCAGUCAUGGGUGGGGGGACAAGGGCUGGCCAGCUAAUAGAGACCCCCUCUCCACCCCCUCUGGCGGGCAGCUUAACAUCCCUUGUGCGCCGGUUACUGAUGCCGUGGGAAACAGAAUAUGAUGUCAUAUUCCGGCUCCCAGCAUCAGUAGACAGACUGCGAGGGAGCAGUGCAGAGCAGAGAGAUCACAGCUCUCUCGUCACCUCAGAUGGGAAGCCGCCCGCCGCACUGACCCCAGGGGCGGAUCUACGCCAGCUCUCCAGGUAGAGAGGCUGGGUGGGAAAUUUUUGAUUACAUUAUUAAGUUGUGUGUGUGUCUGUAUGUCUGAGUGUCUGUUAGUGCAUGUGCAUGUCUGUUAAUGCAUGUGUGUUUGUGUGUCAAAUCAGUGAGAGUCUCUGAUUGUGUGACUAUCAAUGUGUCUGAAAAUGAGUGUCAGUGUGCGUGUGUGUCUGUCAAGGAAUGUGUGUGUCAGUGAAUGUGUGUGUGUCAAAUCAGUGAGUCUGUUUGUCAUUGAGUAUAUGUGUGUGACUGUAAGUGUGUAUCUGCCAAUAAAUGUGUGUCAAAUCAGUGUGUCUGACUGUCAGUGACAUCUGUGUGUAUUUCAUUGUGUAUCUGCCAAUGUGUGUCUGUCAGUGAAUGUAUGUGUCAAAGUGUGUGCUUAAAGGGACACUAUAGGAGCCUAGACCACUUCAGCUCAGUGAAGUGGUCU
This is a non-coding RNA of Pelobates cultripes (western spadefoot toad), 825 nucleotides long. Lineage: Eukaryota; Metazoa; Chordata; Amphibia; Anura; Pelobatidae. The record is from the annotation of a GenBank genome assembly.